AUGAUUCGUGGGACGUCCUGCCGGUGGUGGCGAGUCGAAGGCGUGCACCCGUUGUGGUUUCCACUUCGGUUCUUGCGCGCCGGAGGCGGACCCCGAUGAAAUCCUACCGCGGUGCUCUUCGCCGAGUGUCGAGGUGGGCCGGCACGUUUACUUUGAACAAAUUAGAGUGCUUAAAGCAGGCCUGUUGCGCCUGAAUACUGUGUGCAUGGAAUAAUGGAAUAGGACCUCGGUUCUAUUUUGUUGGUUUUCGGAACCCGAGGUAAUGAUUAAUAGGGACAGGCGGGGGCAUUCGUAUUGCGACGUUAGAGGUGAAAUUCUUGGAUCGUCGCAAGACGGACCGAAGCGAAAGCAUUUGCCAAGUAUGUUUUCAUUAAUCAAGAACGAAAGUUAGAGGUUCGAAGGCGAUCAGAUACCGCCCUAGUUCUAACCAUAAACGAUGCCAGCUAGCGAUCCGCCGAAGUUCCUCCGAUGACUCGGCGGGCAGCUCCCGGGAAACCAAAGCUUUUGGGUUCCGGGGGAAGUAUGGUUGCAAAGCUGAAACUUAAGGAAUUGACGGAAGG
RNAcentral lists this ribosomal RNA (560 nucleotides) under Phaneroptera falcata (sickle-bearing bush cricket). RNAcentral describes it as "SSU rRNA". It matches the Rfam family "Eukaryotic small subunit ribosomal RNA", at positions 720 to 1163 of the family's 1831-position model. Lineage: Eukaryota; Metazoa; Arthropoda; Insecta; Orthoptera; Tettigoniidae. The record is from RNAcentral.